Molecule: non-coding RNA, 383 nt
Organism: Pelobates cultripes (western spadefoot toad)
Lineage: Eukaryota; Metazoa; Chordata; Amphibia; Anura; Pelobatidae
Source: the annotation of a GenBank genome assembly
CUGUCGACAUUAUAGUUGUGCAGGCACUUUGGUGACUCUAGAGAACUUUGGGCCAAUUGCAUGUCCCCGUGACGGCGACUUUGCAUUUGGAUGUCUGCCCUAUCAACUUUCAAUGCCACCUUCUGCACCUACCAUGGUGACCACGGGUAACGGGGAAUCAGGGUUAGAUUCUGGAGAGGGAGUCUGAGAAACGGCUACCACAUCCAAGGAUGGCAGCAGGCGCGCAAGUUACCCACUCCCGACGCGGGAAGGUUGUGACGACAAAUAACAAUACAGGACUCUUUAGAGACCCUGUAAUUGUAAUGAGUCCACGUGAAAUCCUUUAACUAUGAUCAAUUGGAGGGCAAGUCUGGUGCAGAGCAACUGACCUGUGCGUGCUCCAG